RNAcentral lists this transfer RNA (72 nucleotides) under Chaetodontoplus septentrionalis (bluestriped angelfish). Its description in RNAcentral is "tRNA-Ser". It matches the Rfam family "tRNA". From Rfam's summary of the family: Transfer RNA (tRNA) molecules are approximately 80 nucleotides in length. Their secondary structure includes four short double-helical elements and three loops (D, anti-codon, and T loops). The record is from RNAcentral. Lineage: Eukaryota; Metazoa; Chordata; Actinopteri; Pomacanthidae.
AAGAAAGUGGCAGAGCGGUUAUGCGAUUGGCUUGAAACCAAUCUAUGGGGGUUCGACUCCUCCCUUUCUCGA